UAGGGAAUAUUGGGCAAUGGGCGCAAGCCUGACCCAGCCAUGCCGCGUGCAGGACGAAGGCGCUCAGCGUUGUAAACUGCUUUUACUCACGAAGAACGACCGGGGUGAGCCCCGGUGUGACGGUAGUGAGGGAAUCAGCACCGGCUAACUCCGUGCCAGCAGCCGCGGUAAUACGGAGGGUGCAAGCGUUGUCCGGAUUUAUUGGGUUUAAAGGGUGCGUAGGUGGUCUUUUAAGUCUGGUUUGAAAGCUGGUGGCUCAACCAUCAGAUUGGGCUGGAAACUGGGGGACUUGAAUGGGUUGGCGGCUGCCGGAACGGGUCAUGUAGCGGUGAAAUGCAUAGAUAUGACCCAGAACCCCGAUUGCGAAGGCAGGCAGCUAGGACCCGAUUGACACUGAGGC
This 400-nucleotide ribosomal RNA is filed under the name uncultured bacterium. Its description in RNAcentral is "bacterial SSU rRNA". It matches the Rfam family "Bacterial small subunit ribosomal RNA", at positions 355 to 752 of the family's 1533-position model. The record is from RNAcentral.